UCGACGUGGAGGCUGAGGCCGAAUGGUA
RNAcentral lists this small RNA (28 nucleotides) under Bombyx mori (domestic silkworm). RNAcentral's name for it is "ovarian small RNA-28336". The record is from RNAcentral. Lineage: Eukaryota; Metazoa; Arthropoda; Insecta; Lepidoptera; Bombycidae.